RNAcentral lists this ribosomal RNA (444 nucleotides) under uncultured bacterium. RNAcentral describes it as "bacterial SSU rRNA". It matches the Rfam family "Bacterial small subunit ribosomal RNA", at positions 354 to 795 of the family's 1533-position model. The record is from RNAcentral.
GUAAGGAAUAUUGGACAAUGGACGCAAGUCUGAUCCAGCCAUGCCGCGUGAAGGAUUAAGGUCCUCUGGAUUGUAAACUUCUUUUAUAAGGGACGAAAAAAGGCUUUUCUAAGUCGUCUGACGGUACCUUAUGAAUAAGCACCGGCUAACUCCGUGCCAGCAGCCGCGGUAAUACGGAGGGUGCAAGCGUUAUCCGGAUUCACUGGGUUUAAAGGGUGCGUAGGCGGGCAGGUAAGUCAGUGGUGAAAUCCUAGAGCUUAACUCUAGAACUGCCAUUGAUACUAUCUGUCUUGAAUAUUGUGGAGGUAAGCGGAAUAUGUCAUGUAGCGGUGAAAUGCUUAGAUAUGACAUAGAACACCUAUUGCGAAGGCAGCUUACUACGCAUAUAUUGACGCUGAGGCACGAAAGCGUGGGGAUCAAACAGGAUUAGAUACCCCGGUAGUC